RNAcentral lists this ribosomal RNA (536 nucleotides) under uncultured bacterium. RNAcentral's name for it is "bacterial SSU rRNA". It matches the Rfam family "Bacterial small subunit ribosomal RNA", at positions 777 to 1307 of the family's 1533-position model. The record is from RNAcentral.
AAUAGAUACCCCCGGUAGUCCACGCCCUAAACGAUGCAUAUUUGGUGUGGGCAGUUCAUUCUGUCCGUGCCGGAGCUAACGCGUUAAAUAUGCCGCCUGGGGAGUACAGUCGCAAGGCUGAAACUCAAAGGAAUUGACGGGGGGCCCGCACAAGCGGUGGAGCAUGUGGUUCAAUUCGACGCAACGCGAAGAACCUUACCUGGGCUCGAACGGCUGGUCAACGGCGGUGGAAACAUCGCUACCCCGCAAGGGGGUCCAGUCGAGGUGCUGCAUGGCUGUCGUCAGCUCGUGUCGUGAGAUGUUGGGUUAAGUCCCGCAACGAGCGCAACCCUUGUCCUGUGUUGCCAUGUCGAAAGUACGGAACUCGCGGGAGACCGCCAGGGGAUAACCUGGAGGAAGGUGGGGAUGACGGUCAAGUCCUCAUGGCCUUUAUGUCCAGGGCUACACACGUGCUACAAUGGACGGUACAAAGCGCAGCGAACUCGCGAGAGGGAGCCAAUCGCAAAAAACCCGUUCUCAGUUCGGAUUGCAGGCUG